Amphiprion ocellaris (clown anemonefish) is the source of this 2723-nucleotide long non-coding RNA. RefSeq lists it as uncharacterized. The record is from RefSeq and is a predicted model, not a curated record. The transcript is spliced from 3 exons. NCBI's taxonomy places the organism in Eukaryota, Metazoa, Chordata, Actinopteri, Pomacentridae.
ACACAACCUUGUAAGAGAAUGUCUGUCAAUGCUUUCAGCAGAAUUUAGAAACACAACACUUCCUAAACAGAUAUUUUGAGGCUGUGAGGUUGAACGUUUGAGAGUAUAUCAGUGUGUUUGUUUGUGGUCUGUUUCUAGGUGGAAACUGAAUUAGUGAGGAUGACUCCUGCUCCUGUCAUCUCUAAGCUCCUCACACAUCUUUACCUGCACAUGAGGAAAAUCACUCCUGUAGAAUGCAGUGGUUCAUCAGAACCUCUGGGGAUGUCCUGUGGAUUCUGUGGAUCCUGUGGGUUGCAGGGUGGGUCCUACCUGGACCAGGCUGAUCCUGGACCAUCCCACAGAUGCUCAAUCAGAUCUGGAUGUGGGGAGUGUGGAACCCAGAUGUUCAGAGGGAGAUGAUGCCACAUCUGGUCCAGCUAAUGGAAGGUCUUGAAGUUCUCUGACUGGCCUCGACUGAAGAUGGUCCGUCUCACUGGAUUUAAGGUUCAGAUGCUCAGUAACAAACUCCACCAAUGUGCCAACAGGGAAGCUUUAGGUUUCUUAAAUGUUGCUAUGAAGUAGGGCUGGGCGAUAAUGGCCUCAAAAAAAAAUCUCAGAUUUUUUCACAAAAAAUCCUGAUUCACGAUUUAUCCGAUUUUUUUUUUUUUUUUUUUUUAAACCCCCUACCUAAUCUCUGCACGCUGAAGUCCAGUCUACUUUAUGCAAAUGAGCUGCAGCCCUCUCCAGGUAAACACACAGGAUCGCAGCAGGAAACGCACCGCAGCCGGACCAGCAUGCCACAUGCGGGGCAUUUCCAGCUGCGAUCCGCUGUGUUUACCUGGAGAGGGCUGCAGCUCAUUUGCAUAAAGUCGACUGACUUCUACUUUAUGCAAAUUGGAUGCGGCGUGCGGAGAUUCCACGCAUCGUGAAACUGUCCUCAAACUUCUAAACUAGGCGUCGGUGACCUAAAACGAGGACAGAUUCAUCUGCUGCAGAUUAUUUCUCGCUUCAAAUGCUUUCAGAAAUACUUUUCGCUGACGUGUUUCUUGAAAUAAAAGGUAAAGUUUGCGGCCGAGCCGCUGUGUUUAUCCGACUUGUCUGCAAGACUGUCCAGCUGAAAGCUCGGUCACAUGACCACGUAGCUGCCUGCUGUUGCUCAGCGCUGUCAUGUGACCAUGUUGUGGUCCGCUAGUGACCGCCGUCCGUGUGAUUUUCAGAUGUGGUGCAUUGCCAUGCGGGAAAAUAGCAUCUAGUGGACAUGCGCCUUUAGAUCUGCACCGCUCGCCGCCAUGUUGUUUGUGUAUCAAGCGCGGGGGGGAGGGGGGCGCACUCUGAACUACGGGAGCCCAGCGGGAAGGCGUUGGUGGCGGAUGUUGAUGAGAAAAUCGAUUUUCAUUAAAACAAAUCGACAUUAAGUACAAAGUCGAAUUAAUUGAUAAAAUCGAUUUAUCGCCCAGCCCUACUAUGAAGGUAUCGCUGUUUUUCUUUGUGAAUGCAAUGUGCUCCAACUGAAACUUGAAUUAGAACUUAGAAGUAAAUCCUUCCAUCUGAUAGGAUUUAGUUGCAUUAAUAACCUCAUAACAUUCUAAUUUUUAUUCCAGUCUUGGUUGGAAAUAGAAUCUCUGUAUUGAUUCAGGUAAAAACUGAACUUCACAGCAUGUUGGAGCAAAACAACCAGAUGAAAACUGUGAUGGUGUUGGAUUGUCAGGCCGUAAUGUUGCAGCUCAAAGCAGCUUUUCUAGCUCAGUUCAUUCUGACAUUCAGCUAUGAAUCAACACAGCAGAUGGUGAUCCAUGCUGUGGAAGUCUCACAUCUCCUGAUUUAGUGGAGCUGCUUUGCACUUUUUACACUGUUUAUUCACCAACACUUUAUUUAAUAAAAGUCCCAUCUAGUUUUUAUGAGGAAUGUGAUGUUUUAAUUUCUCUGAAUAACUGCAGUCUAAUGCAACAGCUGGAAUUGUAACAUCUGUCCUGAUAUUGAUCAUGAAGUAUUGAUCAGAAUACUUAUGGUUAGCAGUCAUCCCUGAAGAUUUACAUUAAAAUCUUUACUUGUGUUGUGAACUUUGGUAAGAAGCAGAAAUGUUAGCGUUGCCAUGGAUAUAAGAGUGUUAAAUUCUGUCCAUGUUUCCAUUUUGGGAAACGCAGUCCAGUUCCAGAAUGUGGAGGAAUUUAGUCUCACAAUCACAGACAACAAAUAUUAUCUGAAAGUGGGGUUAUUGUUGUUUAUCAGCACAAUACAAAAAGAUUAAUGUUAGAAAUAUUCCAGUUAAGACUCUAGAAUAUCAUGAUUUAUGUAAAUUUACCUCAAUAAUAUGAAUGUUCAGGUUAAGAUUGUACAGUGAUAUUUAUUAUGCAAGUUUAGCUGAUUAAAGUUUAUGACUCUGCACUAAAAUAUUAUUUAAAUUGACAUCAUUAUUAUAAUAUUUAGGGUCAGACCCUACAGUAUUGAGAUUAAGAAAUCAAAUAUUCUAUAAAAUGUAAAUACACUGAACUCAUUUGGAUAUAUUUAAGUGAGACUCUACAAUAUUAUUUGACACAAAUCUAUCUAAAUCAAAAUUUUAAUAAUUUUCACGCCAAACAUUUACUGGACUGAUUUAAACAUUAAAAUCACUCCUUUCUAAUCCUCAGCUGUACGUUCAAACCUGAAGCCUUAAAUAGAAACAAGUAUCUGUUUGAAGGAACUUCUGCAGAGUCCUGGUUCCAGAACAUGAUGAUAGAAUUAUAGACAAACUUUAACAAAAGCUG